This is a long non-coding RNA of Pollicipes pollicipes, 214 nucleotides long. RefSeq lists it as uncharacterized. Lineage: Eukaryota; Metazoa; Arthropoda; Thecostraca; Pollicipedomorpha; Pollicipedidae. The record is from RefSeq and is a predicted model, not a curated record. The transcript is spliced from 3 exons.
GGCGCGGCGAGGGGAGGGCACGCCAGCUCGGCACACGGCGAAGGCCAAAUGGAGAAUGUCAAGGUGAAAGAGGACCCGGAACUGAGGAUGAAGCCUAGCUCGGUCAUCACCACCGACCAGCACCGGCACAGGAGCAGAGCUUGGAGCAGCAGCACGGCAGAUUGAAUCUGCUCGCUGAGGAUGAACAUUUUGCGGGCCUUCGGUCGGCAUUGAU